UACGUAGGGGGCAAGCGUUGUCCGGAAUCAUUGGGCGUAAAGCGCGUGUAGGCGGCUAGGUAAGUCUGCUCUGAAAUCCCGGGGCUCAACCCGGGAACUGCGUCCGAUACUGGAAGGCUUGAAUCCGGGAGAGGGAUGUGGAAUUCCAGGUGUAGCGGUGAAAUGCGUAGAUAUCUGGAGGAACACCGGUGGCGAAGGCGACAUCCUGGACCGGUAUUGACGCUGAGGCGCGAAAGCCAGGGGAGCAAACGGG
RNAcentral lists this ribosomal RNA (253 nucleotides) under uncultured bacterium. RNAcentral's name for it is "partial 16S ribosomal RNA". It matches the Rfam family "Bacterial small subunit ribosomal RNA", at positions 524 to 776 of the family's 1533-position model. The record is from RNAcentral.